This 64-nucleotide transfer RNA is filed under the name Eucorydia linglong. Its description in RNAcentral is "tRNA-Phe". Lineage: Eukaryota; Metazoa; Arthropoda; Insecta; Blattodea; Corydiidae. The record is from RNAcentral.
GUUUAAGUAGCUUAUGAAGAGUAUAACAUUGAAGAUGUUAAGGAAAUUGAAUAAUUGUUAAACA